This is a long non-coding RNA of Rhineura floridana, 386 nucleotides long. RefSeq lists it as uncharacterized. The record is from RefSeq and is a predicted model, not a curated record. Lineage: Eukaryota; Metazoa; Chordata; Lepidosauria; Squamata; Rhineuridae. The transcript is spliced from 3 exons.
CAAGCCUGAGGGCAAUGAAGUUUUAACAUGGGAAGUCAUCACUGCAAUGCAAAAGUAGGUGAAUAAAUCAAUCUGUUUCCAGUGAAGGUCCCGGCUCUGAGGGAGGCUCAGAGGGUGAUGACAAGAGAGAGGGCCUUUUCAGUUGUGGCUCCCCAUCUGUGGAAUAUGCUCCCCAGGGAGGUCUGCCUGGCACCUUCAUUGUCACCUCUUUGGCGCCAGGUAAAGACGUACCUUUUCUCCCAGCCACUUCCCUUAAAGUUCUACAGCAAGAUGGUUGGAAGGAAACCACUCGCUUCAGACAGAACCUAUCUGGUUCACUACCAGCAACACAAGAACUGCAGGAAUUGUUAAAUGUACCUUCCUGCGUGACCAUCAAUCAAAUUAAA